GAUGAACGCUGGCGGCGUGCCUAAUACAUGCAAGUCGAGCGAACAGAUGAGGAGCUUGCUCCUCUGACGUUAGCGGCGGACGGGUGAGUAACACGUGGAUAACCUACCUAUAAGACUGGGAUAACUUCGGGAAACCGGAGCUAAUACCGGAUAAUAUAUUGAACCGCAUGGUUCAAUAGUGAAAGACGGUUUUGCUGUCACUUAUAGAUGGAUCCGCGCCGCAUUAGCUAGUUGGUAAGGUAACGGCUUACCAAGGCAACGAUGCGUAGCCGACCUGAGAGGGUGAUCGGCCACACUGGAACUGAGACACGGUCCAGACUCCUACGGGAGGCAGCAGUAGGGAAUCUUCCGCAAUGGGCGAAAGCCUGACGGAGCAACGCCGCGUGAGUGAUGAAGGUCUUCGGAUCGUAAAACUCUGUUAUUAGGGAAGAACUAAUGUGUAAGUAACUAUGCACGUCUUGACGGUACCUAAUCAGAAAGCCACGGCUAACUACGUG
This 497-nucleotide ribosomal RNA is filed under the name uncultured bacterium. Its description in RNAcentral is "partial 16S ribosomal RNA". It matches the Rfam family "Bacterial small subunit ribosomal RNA", at positions 28 to 507 of the family's 1533-position model. The record is from RNAcentral.